Molecule: ribosomal RNA, 274 nt
Filed under: uncultured bacterium
Lineage: Bacteria
Description: partial 16S ribosomal RNA
Rfam family: Bacterial small subunit ribosomal RNA
Source: RNAcentral
AUACGGAGGGUGCAAGCGUUACUCGGAAUCACUGGGCGUAAAGGACGCGUAGGCGGGAAGCCAAGUCUGAUGUGAAAUCCUAUGGCUUAACCAUAGAACUGCAUUGGAAACUGGUUACCUAGAGUAUGGGAGGGGGAGAUGGAAUUAGUGGUGUAGGGGUAAAAUCCGUAGAUAUCGCUAGGAAUACCGAAAGCGAAGGCGAUCUCCUGGAACAAUACUGACGCUAAGGCGUGAAAGCGUGGGGAGCAAACGGGAUUAGAAACCCUAGUAGUCC